RNAcentral lists this long non-coding RNA (277 nucleotides) under Homo sapiens (human). Its description in RNAcentral is "HSALNT0364053". Lineage: Eukaryota; Metazoa; Chordata; Mammalia; Primates; Hominidae. The record is from RNAcentral.
AAUUAAAGACUAUGAAUAAAGCACCUAGUAUAUUUCUUGGAACAGGUAGGCACCAGGAUAAACAGUAUUGCUGCUCUGAAGACAGCUUGAGUAACACUGUUCUUGGACAUUGAUGGGCUUGUCUAAUUAAGGGAGAAAAAUCGAUCUUCUGUGAGAACACAUUGAGCUAAUAUGGAAAGAGAAGCAGAGAAGACAGAUGAUAAGAACGUCUUGAUGCUGGUUGAGUCUCCUCUGCAUCCAGUCAUUCCUGAAGCCAGCUCUGAUUCUUCCCCCUCCA